Molecule: long non-coding RNA, 573 nt
Organism: Oreochromis aureus
Lineage: Eukaryota; Metazoa; Chordata; Actinopteri; Cichliformes; Cichlidae
Exons: 2
Source: RefSeq, a predicted model, not a curated record
UGCGGUCAAGUGAAUUUUUAUGUGGUUUGGCUUGUAUUCCUUCCUAUUGGAUGUUUAGGGUCACAUGAGUGGGGUGAUACAGGAAGAGUUUCCUAUUGGAUGUUUAGAGUCACAUGAGUGGGGUAAUGCAGGAAGCCAUUUUAGUAUUGGGAUUUGCACAAUGAGGCGUACCAGAAGUCUCCCUGUUUAAUCCUUCAGCAUCCACCUGUGUUAUGCCAUGGAGAAGCUUUGUUUUUUCACAAGUUCUGGGAAAGCACUGUAAGAUGUACGUUGAUGAAGACAAACAAGUAAACAGCCCUCAACUUUACUUUCACGUCUGACUCAUCAUUCAACGCUUUCAGUGCCUACGGCAUAUGUUUAGCUAUCUGUCACUUCGUGUACCAGAACCACGCACGCAGGGGGCAGAAUAACAUGCAUGAAGAGGAUGAUGUGGACAAAAUACUCAUUUGCCUAAUAAUUCUGCACUCCCUGUAUAUCAUUUCAUUGGGACAUGUUAUUUCUGCUCUGUGGGAUUGUAUUGUUUAUUAAGGUCUUACUGUGGCACAUUGCAUUACAUUACAUCAUUUCAGAUUC